CUCUCCACAAUCCCUGCGUCACUCACGACCUCUCCACCAAUGAGCACCUAAACACGUUCAGUUUGAGCACGACAUCAAAGACUUGAAAGACAAAAUACUUUCGCACCUGUUUACUUAAUCGAGCAUCUCUCUUAUUAGUGUCGGAAUCAACUUGCAUUGCAUCCUCCUCUUCGUCAUGUUCCGCUGCUUUGGCCCGUUUGCAGGGCUUCACUCCAACGGGACUAUUUUUCGUCUUUGACAUUCUUCGCUCCAAGUCAACCCAAAGUUGGAGGGACAACUGCUCGGUCACUGUCAGUCUGCGAGAUAAACAGCAACAGACCAGGCUCAUGAGCACCAGUUCCAGGCUCUGGAUGGCCAGUUCAUCAGGCACAGCAAGGCCUUCAUGGAGAUGCUCUUUCAUCUGUGUGGCCAAAUCGCUGUGACCCUGGGUGUCGAGAACCCGACGCAUGACGCCGCCGAUGGACAGCAAGUCCAAGCCGUACUUCUGCGACAACAUCUGCGCGACUUCAUCAACAUGUAGAGAAAUUGAUUAGAAAACUAGAGAAGUGUAUGAAAAACUGCAAUUUGAAACUCACCGCCAGUUUUCCCUGAUUUUGGUGGUCCAAUAAUAGCCAUUUUAAUAGGAAGCGUAGGGGAGGGCUUGGUCUGCCUGAGGUACUUUAAAGGAUUGAGCAUGAAUGUUUGCUGGUUCUUCUUAGACUCUAAAAAGUAGAUAUACUGAUUGAGGAGUACGGGAUAGGCGCCAUCAAGAGGCCACAGCAAAGGCUGGAUGAUAUCUCUUUCAUUAUACCGCUGUGUGGAAAAGGAUGUAAUUUACUCUAAAAAUGUCUCAAUCCUCAAAACCAAGGUUAUUUUCGCUUACCCUAACGGGGUCCAAGCAGCCAAAGGCACUAUGAAACUUGUAAGAGUAGAGGAGUAACUGCUGUGACAAGUUGUACGAAAUGGCCAGGCAUCUUUGGAAGAGUGAUUCCCUGUUGGUGUACAAAGGCUCCACUUUUAGGACGAGUUGACGUCGAACAAUCUGUAUCUUACGGGACGCAUUUAUAGAUAUCCUCGGAAUGUUCAGCUCUGCCACAAGCUCCUAGGUAUAGAAAACACACACAAAAGCAAAUGUUCUCAAAGACUGAAGUACAUGUACUGAAAGGUGAACAGUCACCAACAUUAAGCCUUUAUGAUUUUACAGGCAAUGUUUGAAGUAACAUUGAAAUAUACAAGACACACAAUCGUAAAGAGAAGUUAACCACCCGUUAAUAAAAUAAAACAAAACUGAAAAUAAGACAAACCACUCACCCUUUAGGGCAGGGGUGUCCAAAGUACGGCCCGGGGGCCAUUUGCGGCCUGCAAGUAAUUUUUUAAUGGCCCCACAGCACAUUUUAAAAAUACGAUUGAACAUUUUUUAAAACGUAAAAAGUGAUAUAAAAGAGCAAACGGGUGAAAUGUAACAAGAACAUUUUGCAAUGUUUACUCUAAUAACACAAAGCUGCCAUGCAGGUUGUUUCUUUCUUUAAAAAAUAAUAAUGAAUCAAAAUCAAUUUCAUUAUGAAUUAUUGACCUAUUCAUGGCUCCAAUUACAUCACGUUAAAUUUUCCACUUUGAGAUUUUUUGGGGGGAAAAUGUUACAUAUUUUGUGUUUGCCAUAUAAAAAACUGAACUGUUUUUUUAAAGAAAGGCCUAAAAUGAACAAACAAAAAACAUAAACAACAAUAAAACUUAUAAUUGACGGAUAGAUCUGAAGUUAAUCUCGAGAUUAUUGUGUUAAAAGUAAACAGUAAAAAAAUGUAUUGUUAUUGACCUUUUUAAUGCUCCAAUUAUUAUAUAAUCUGACAUAUUCCACUUAAAAAAUUAUUGGGUGAAAAUAUUCCAUAUUUUGUGAUUUUUCCAUAAAAACAAAUACAACUUAAAUUUUUGAAAUCGGUAUAUCGACAGAUAGACCUAAUGUUGAUCUAGAGAUUUAAAACUUGAAUAAUAAUAAAAAAAAUAAUACUGAAUAAUGACACAUUUUUUUUUAUAUUUUUUGGACCAAAACCCUUUGGGGUCCCUGAGAUCAACCCUGAGUGGAGGCCGAAAUGUAUAUUUUUUUUAAAUAAAAAAUAUCAAAAUGGCCCCCACUUUCUUUGAUUUUUCAGUGUGCGGCCCUCAGUGGAUAAAGUUUGGACACCCCUGCUUUAGGGGGUACAAUUUACCACAAACAAAAAUUUGAUAUCCAAAUUUGACAAUUUUCGGUUAGAGUUAAAGUACCAAUGAUUGUCACACAAACACUUGGUGUGGUGAAAUUUGUCUUCUGCAUUUGACCCAUCCCCUUUUUCACCCACUGGGAGGUGAGGGGAGCAGUGGGCAGCAGCGGUGCCACGCACCAGAAUCAUUUUUGUUGAUUUAACCCCCAAUUCCAACCCUUGAUGCUGAGUGCCAAGCAGGGAUGUAAUGGGUCUCAUUUUUAUAGUCUCUGGUAUGACUCAGACGGGGUUUGAACUCACAACCUACCGAUCUCAGGGUGGACACUCUAGCAAUUAGGCAACUGAGUAGGAUGUUUGAGUUGAGGUAAGCGUCAUAGAAAGGUUGGCGGAUUUUGGAAUAUGCUAACAGUAGCUGCUAGACUACAUAUGUGACUGAUAUACCCAAGGUUUGCAUGUAUUAACGCAUGUGCAUACUUGAUACCGCACGCAAAGCUGAUAUACUAAGCUCAUGCGCAGAAAAUUGCGUCUAUUAAAUGCCUUUAGUGUGUCUGUCUUCAUAUACAAUAUACACGGAAUGCCAUAUAUGCUAUUUAUUAGAAUGCUCACAAUAGUAGGAGGAGAUGCAAAUACUGUAUAGUCAUUUAGCACUCGCGAGGUGAUUUAUCAUGCAUUAACUGCUUUGCAACUGUUUCAUUUCUAUAUUUAGCACAUUUAAAAUGUUUCUGCAUACAGGCACAUUUAUGGCUGAGGAGAGCAGUGCAAUAUGCCUGACGAUGCUUGUGUCCACAAUCAACAUAUUUCUGUCAGAUAUGGGUGAAUUUAAAAACAUGAAUACCGUGAAAAGGUUUGUGAUGAUCAAAGUUAUAACAAAUACAGACUUGAAACAGCUCACUUUUCAUGAGUUUAAAACACAUAUUUGUUUCACAUUUGAAGUUGAAUUUCUGACUGACAUAAGUGAACUUUUGCACAUUAUGCAAUUUUUUUUUCUGGUUAAACUUGUAUAAGGGUUGUCAAAAAUGAGUUAACACGUGAUUAAUCACAAAAACAUAUUACAUUGAACAUGUUACAGAUUAAUCACACAACCUUUUUUGAGCACACACGCUCAUUUACCUUAAAGGUACAUGUUGUUCUUUAGUCAGUGAUCAGGUAAACGCGUGCGUCAAAUAUGAUGUGAGGAGACCCAGACUGGUGUGGUCAAAGGUCAAUUUCACUACAAAGUAAACUCCGAUAAGACUUUAGAAAACGUUUUAAACAAAGUUUUUUAACUGUUUUUAACUUUUUAACUGCUUUUAUCCAACAAAUUGUUCUUAGGGUAAUUUGUGUUUGCUUUUUCAAUGUGUAUUUUACUUCUGUUUUAAAUGUUAUUUUUUAGUCUGUCCUUUGCCUCUCUUCUUUAUGGUGUCCAUCUCUUUGUUCUUCAACUGUGGUUGUUUUUAUAGGGCUUUAUAAACAAAGUUGUAUGGUAUGGUAUGGUGGAUAAAUAACAUGCAUUUGGGUAAAAUUUUCAAAAAAUGUUCCCGUAUGACAUUCUGACAAUAAAAUUAAGUUUUUGUGAAAAUA
Molecule: long non-coding RNA, 3734 nt
Organism: Nerophis ophidion (straightnose pipefish)
Lineage: Eukaryota; Metazoa; Chordata; Actinopteri; Syngnathiformes; Syngnathidae
Exons: 2
Source: RefSeq, a predicted model, not a curated record